RNAcentral lists this ribosomal RNA (1550 nucleotides) under Klebsiella pneumoniae. RNAcentral's name for it is "bacterial SSU rRNA". It matches the Rfam family "Bacterial small subunit ribosomal RNA". Lineage: Bacteria; Pseudomonadati; Pseudomonadota; Gammaproteobacteria; Enterobacterales; Enterobacteriaceae. The record is from RNAcentral.
AAAUUGAAGAGUUUGAUCAUGGCUCAGAUUGAACGCUGGCGGCAGGCCUAACACAUGCAAGUCGAGCGGUAGCACAGAGAGCUUGCUCUCGGGUGACGAGCGGCGGACGGGUGAGUAAUGUCUGGGAAACUGCCUGAUGGAGGGGGAUAACUACUGGAAACGGUAGCUAAUACCGCAUAAUGUCGCAAGACCAAAGUGGGGGACCUUCGGGCCUCAUGCCAUCAGAUGUGCCCAGAUGGGAUUAGCUAGUAGGUGGGGUAACGGCUCACCUAGGCGACGAUCCCUAGCUGGUCUGAGAGGAUGACCAGCCACACUGGAACUGAGACACGGUCCAGACUCCUACGGGAGGCAGCAGUGGGGAAUAUUGCACAAUGGGCGCAAGCCUGAUGCAGCCAUGCCGCGUGUGUGAAGAAGGCCUUCGGGUUGUAAAGCACUUUCAGCGGGGAGGAAGGCGGUGAGGUUAAUAACCUCAUCGAUUGACGUUACCCGCAGAAGAAGCACCGGCUAACUCCGUGCCAGCAGCCGCGGUAAUACGGAGGGUGCAAGCGUUAAUCGGAAUUACUGGGCGUAAAGCGCACGCAGGCGGUCUGUCAAGUCGGAUGUGAAAUCCCCGGGCUCAACCUGGGAACUGCAUUCGAAACUGGCAGGCUAGAGUCUUGUAGAGGGGGGUAGAAUUCCAGGUGUAGCGGUGAAAUGCGUAGAGAUCUGGAGGAAUACCGGUGGCGAAGGCGGCCCCCUGGACAAAGACUGACGCUCAGGUGCGAAAGCGUGGGGAGCAAACAGGAUUAGAUACCCUGGUAGUCCACGCCGUAAACGAUGUCGAUUUGGAGGUUGUGCCCUUGAGGCGUGGCUUCCGGAGCUAACGCGUUAAAUCGACCGCCUGGGGAGUACGGCCGCAAGGUUAAAACUCAAAUGAAUUGACGGGGGCCCGCACAAGCGGUGGAGCAUGUGGUUUAAUUCGAUGCAACGCGAAGAACCUUACCUGGUCUUGACAUCCACAGAACUUUCCAGAGAUGGAUUGGUGCCUUCGGGAACUGUGAGACAGGUGCUGCAUGGCUGUCGUCAGCUCGUGUUGUGAAAUGUUGGGUUAAGUCCCGCAACGAGCGCAACCCUUAUCCUUUGUUGCCAGCGGUUCGGCCGGGAACUCAAAGGAGACUGCCAGUGAUAAACUGGAGGAAGGUGGGGAUGACGUCAAGUCAUCAUGGCCCUUACGACCAGGGCUACACACGUGCUACAAUGGCAUAUACAAAGAGAAGCGACCUCGCGAGAGCAAGCGGACCUCAUAAAGUAUGUCGUAGUCCGGAUUGGAGUCUGCAACUCGACUCCAUGAAGUCGGAAUCGCUAGUAAUCGUAGAUCAGAAUGCUACGGUGAAUACGUUCCCGGGCCUUGUACACACCGCCCGUCACACCAUGGGAGUGGGUUGCAAAAGAAGUAGGUAGCUUAACCUUCGGGAGGGCGCUUACCACUUUGUGAUUCAUGACUGGGGUGAAGUCGUAACAAGGUAACCGUAGGGGAACCUGCGGUUGGAUCACCUCCUUACCUUAAAGAA